GGCGAAAGAUUUGAACAACACUGCAACAAAGACGUUAACGAGAUGACAAGCAAGACCAGGGGAAGAUGCUCGAUGCCUUCCUUGGUAGGAAACUGCAAAUUAAAACCACAGACACGGCUGCAAAACUGUCAGAUGGUUACAAAAGAGCUGACCAGCUCCGUUUGCAAGGACACGGAGCUACCAGAACUCUCCUCCAUCGCUGGUGGGAAUGCAAAAUGGACAGCCACUCUGAAGAGCACUCAGGAAGCUUCUAGAAAGCUAAAUCUCCUCCAGCCACAAAAACCCCGAGCAAGCUGUUCCUCUCCCAGCUCUGAUGAGGCAUGAGGGGAUUCUUCUUCAGCAUUCACUGUGAGGACCUGGUGGAGCUCCUGGAGGUCAAACCCACAGAAGUGCGGGGUCCCCUGUGCCUGGGCCCCCUGGCAUUUUUAACUCUCACACUCGCCCAUGCUGGGCCCAGCAAUCCCUCAGUUGCAGUUCAGGUUUCUCUCCUGGCACUGGUUCCAUGGAGGUUUCUGCUUCUGGGUUUCUGCUCCGGGAAGUGUGAGUCUGUGUGUCUGCCUGUCCAUCCCUCCAGCUCUGGGGACAGUGGUUUGCCCUGUGACCUCACUUCUCUGACAGAUCUAAGAAGAGCUGCCAAUUUUCCAGAUUGUUCAGUUUUUACCUGUUGUCAGGAUGCAGCGGAAACUUCUAGGCUCCUCACACCCUGAAUCAGAGACUGAAGUUUGGCUCAUUUUUUAAUCAUCCACAAACUUUGCAUCUCUGGAAUAAGCCUGAAUUUGUUGUGAUGUAUUACAUAGAUUAGAUGUAGGCACAGACAUAGCUGCAGAUAAAUACACACACACGCAGAGCUGGAUUCAGCUUAUUCGUAUUUUGGAUAUUUGUAUUCGUUUUAAUGAAUGAUAGGUCUUUAAUUUUCCUCUUAAUUUUUCUUUUGUAGUGUCCUUGUCCUUGCCAGGUUUAGUAUUAAGAUUAUGCUGUUCUUUAAAACAAAUUAAGAAUUU
This 1001-nucleotide long non-coding RNA is filed under the name Equus asinus (donkey). RNAcentral describes it as "lncRNA (ENSEASG00005034258.1)". The record is from RNAcentral. Lineage: Eukaryota; Metazoa; Chordata; Mammalia; Perissodactyla; Equidae.